CGGGGUGAGUAACGCGUGGAUAACCUGCCUCACACUGGGGAUAACAGUUAGAAAUGACUGCUAAUACCGCAUAAGCGCACAGUACCGCAUGGUACAGUGUGAAAAACUCCGGUGGUGUGAGAUGGAUCCGCGUCUGAUUAGCCAGUUGGCGGGUAACGCCCACCAAAGCGACGAUCAGUAGCCGACCUGAGAGGGUGACCGGCCACAUUGGGACUGAGACACGGCCCAA
Molecule: ribosomal RNA, 229 nt
Filed under: uncultured bacterium
Lineage: Bacteria
Description: partial 16S ribosomal RNA
Rfam family: Bacterial small subunit ribosomal RNA
Source: RNAcentral